UCGCAAUGAUGAGAGUGAUCCAAAACCAUUCGUAGUUUCCACCAGAGGCUUCAAAUCCAGUGAUGGCUAAACACCUUCCUUGGAUGUCUGAGCGA
Small nucleolar RNA from Anolis sagrei ordinatus, 95 nucleotides. RefSeq annotates it as small nucleolar RNA SNORD14. The record is from RefSeq and is a predicted model, not a curated record. Lineage: Eukaryota; Metazoa; Chordata; Lepidosauria; Squamata; Anolidae.